RNAcentral lists this transfer RNA (72 nucleotides) under uncultured archaeon. RNAcentral describes it as "tRNA-Val(cac)". It matches the Rfam family "tRNA". Rfam says of the family: Transfer RNA (tRNA) molecules are approximately 80 nucleotides in length. Their secondary structure includes four short double-helical elements and three loops (D, anti-codon, and T loops). Further hydrogen bonds mediate the characteristic L-shaped molecular structure. tRNAs have two regions of fundamental functional importance: the anti-codon, which is responsible for specific mRNA codon recognition, and the 3' end, to which the tRNAs corresponding amino acid is attached (by aminoacyl-tRNA synthetases). tRNAs cope with the degeneracy of the genetic code in two manners: having more than one tRNA (with a specific anti-codon) for a particular amino acid; and 'wobble' base-pairing, i.e. permitting non-standard base-pairing at the 3rd anti-codon position. The record is from RNAcentral.
AGGUCCGUGGUCUAGUGGUAUGACGCUGCACUCACACUGCAGAGAUCCUGAGUUCGAUCCUCAGCGGACCUA